Molecule: long non-coding RNA, 552 nt
Organism: Hippocampus zosterae (dwarf seahorse)
Lineage: Eukaryota; Metazoa; Chordata; Actinopteri; Syngnathiformes; Syngnathidae
Exons: 4
Source: RefSeq, a predicted model, not a curated record
GUGAGCCCACAAGGACGCAUGGAGAUCAAUGCACCAUAUUUGCAUCUUGCUAAUGGAAAAGUUGAAACUCAACAUGAAGCCAAAACCAGUUCCUUGCGCGCAGCCAAGACGCCGCUCGCCUCCACAAGCGGGCUGCGCGGCGCGAUGAAGCCGAGCGACACGAGCAGCAGCAGCAGCAGCUGCAGCAGCACGGGAGGAGAACCAUUCCAACACCUCCAUCAACACCAAAAGCGCCAGCAACCUGCACGCAGCGUGACAGAAGCGUGAGAGCAGCCAUGGCGAAUCAACCCGAAGCUGGAGGAAGACACGCCCCCCUGCUUCCCUAUCGGCCCGCCGCUUGGCGUCAAGUCGCGCUUGAACACGCCCUUCGAGAUGCAGAGAAAGCCCAGCUGGACCUAGCCGCAGGAGCGAGAGGUUAAUCGCAGAGCGGGAAGAGAUCGUCUCAGGUAAAGGAUGCAAAGCGUUGCCUGUGUCACACCAAAACACCUUUUGGGAGGUGGAGUGAAAUUGGCGAAAAGAAAGCCCAAAAUUGGGAUGGCGCAAUCGGAUGCA